GCCGCCGGCCCGCCCUCCCCGUCACGUGCCGGGGGCGCGCACUGGGUGCACGAUGAUGGUGGCGGCGGCGUCCGGCGGCGGCGGGUAGAAAAUGGCGGAUUUCGAGGAGCUGCGGAAUAUGGUAUCAAGUUUUCGUGUUUCUGAACUGCAAGUGUUACUGGGGUUUGCUGGACGUAACAAAAGUGGGCGCAAACAUGACCUCCUGAUGAGGGCUCUGCACUUAGUGAAAAGCGGCUGCAGCCCGGCAGUUCAGAUCAAAAUCCGAGAACUCUAUAGGCGACGGUACCCCAGGACGAUCGAGGGACUUUCAGAUUUGUCGGCAAUAAAACCUACGGCUUUCAACUUGGACAGUAGUUCCUCUCCUGUGGAGCCUGACCUGGCCGUUUCUGGCAUUCACACACUCCCUUCCACUUCGGUCACGCCUCAGUCUCCUUCCUCGCCUGUCAGAUCCGUGCUCCUCCAAGACACUAAGUCCCACUUUGAGAUGCAGCAGCCGUCCCCUCCAAUCCCACCCGUUCAUCCUGAUGUUCAGCUGAAAAGCUUGCCUUUCUAUGAUGUACUUGAUGUGCUCAUAAAACCCACGAGUCUAGUACAGAGCAGUAUUCAGCGAUUCCAGGAGAAGUUUUUUAUCUUUGCUUUAACACCUCAGCAAGUCAGAGAAAUCUGUAUUUCCAGGGACUUUUUGCCUGGAGGCAGGAGAGAUUACACAGUCCAAGUUCAGCUAAGGUUAUGCCUAGCAGAGACAAGCUGCCCUCAAGAAGACAAUUAUCCAAAUAGUUUGUGUAUUAAAGUAAAUGGGAAGCUUUUUCCAUUGCCGGGAUAUGCUCCUCCACCAAAAAAUGGAAUUGAACAGAAGCGACCCGGCCGUCCCUUGAAUAUCACAUCUCUAGUUAGGCUGUCGUCAGCAGUGCCAAACCAGAUUUCCAUUUCCUGGGCCUCUGAAAUUGGAAAGAGUUACUCCAUGUCUGUGUAUCUCGUCCGUCAGCUCACUUCAGCUAUGCUUUUGCAGAGGUUAAAACUGAAAGGUAUCAGAAACCCCGACCAUUCCAGAGCACUAAUUAAAGAAAAGCUAACUGCAGAUCCUGAUAGUGAGAUUGCUACAACCAGUCUGCGGGUAUCUCUGAUGUGUCCUCUGGGAAAAAUGAGACUGACAAUCCCCUGCCGGGCUGUGACUUGCACACACCUGCAAUGUUUUGAUGCUGCUCUUUAUCUUCAAAUGAAUGAAAAGAAGCCUACCUGGAUCUGCCCUGUCUGUGACAAAAAGGCAGCUUAUGAGAGCCUAAUACUAGAUGGGCUCUUUAUGGAAAUUCUUAAUGAAUGUUCAGAUGUGGAUGAGAUCAAAUUCCAAGAAGAUGGCUCCUGGUGCCCCAUGAGGCCAAAGAAAGAAGCUGUGAAAGUCUCAAGUUCUCAAUGUACCAAAAUAGAAAGUUCCAGUGUUGUUAGCAAACCCUGUCCUGUGACAGUGGCCAGUGAGGUUAACAAGAAGAAAGUUGACGUUAUCGACCUGACAACAGAAAGCUCUUCUGAUGAAGAGGAAGAUCCUCCUGCCAAAAGGAAGUGCAUAUUCAUGUCUGAAAUACAAGGGAGUCCAACCAAAGGGGUUCUCAUGUACCAGCCAUCCACUGCCAGAGUGCCCAGCGUGACGACGGUCGAUGCUGUUGCAAUUCCUCCUUCAUUAACAGAGUACCCAGUACCAUUCCAUCACCCACCAAUAUCCAGUAUUUCAUCGGACUUGCCAGACAUACCCUAAAUGCCUAUGAUGUAUUCUUCAACACUGCUGCUAAAUAUCAGACAAAAGGUCUGGAUUUUCUUUCGCUAAUCCCAGUUGAUUCACAGUACUGUCCUCCUAUGUUUUUGGAUAGUCUCACCUCAACCUUAACAAGCAGCACGCCUGGCAGCAUCAUCACCUCAGCCAGCCACCAGGAGAGCAGCACGCUCGUUAGCUCCUCCGGCAGGGCCGAGCCCGAGGCCGGGGUGAUAACCAGCAGCAGCAACAGCAGUGCUCCUGACAUCAUCUCCCUGGACAUCAUCUCCCUGGACUGACACUCGGGGCAACACUGGACUCCUGCAGGCAUUGCACAGAGCUGCAGCUCCUCCCUCUGGAACUCCAGCGUCAUCACCCCGGAGGUCAUCCUGGUGUUUAUUUUGAAAGGAUUUCCCUUCUGGAAAGGGGGGGUAAAUUUGUUGUUGCCAGGAGACAGAAGCGAUAGAUUGGAUGGUUGGUUUUGGUUUUUUUUUUUUUUUUUCCCCUGCUCAUUAAGUAGCUGGUGUAGAAAAGGCCCUUGGAGAACAUGUGUUUAUGUUUUUGGUUUGUUCUGGGAGCACUGCCUUUUUCUUGCUAGGUGGAUUCCAUAAAUGUUUUCUAAUUUGGUUGUAAGAAACAGCAAUAAUGUAAAAAUUAAUAAGGUUGUGUUUUUUUUUUUUUAAUAAAUAAAGAAACUUAAUCACUCUAGAACAACAACCUGGAUAAAGGUGCAGAAGUGUAUGAGUUAGUGAAUUCUUAAUAUUUUCACUGGGGCCUGUAAUAAACUUCAUUAAGACAAUGAAGCUUUGAAAUAGCCAUGAUGUGUUGUUUGUCUUGUUUCCCACCUCCCCCUUACCUGGGGAUAUAUAAGAAACCUCUGUAAAUGGGAUUGUUUGGGGGGGUUUUUUCCUAAUUUCAUGUCUUUCUCAAAUGCAACAAAAUCCUAGGCUGUGACUUCUUCCUCUUUUGUGUUCUUUGGGCUGGGAAGGGGACAGACUAUCUAUGCAAACCCUGAAUUACACAGUCUCUGUGCUGCCAUGUCGGAAUCAGGACACAUCCCCAUCACAAAAACUCCAACUAUGCAGUUGAGAGUACAGUUGCUUUCUGUGCCAGCUGUAAGGAGAUAAAAUGGGAAUUAGUUUCUCAAGUGCAGAUGUAUUUGCAAGGAUUUCUUGCUCAUGGUUUCUGUCACUUCAGUAACUGCUGUAUCCCGCAUGGGAAUACUGCACUUAGACUGUGGGGGAGGCUUGGCUUUUUGGAAGGCAGAAGCUGCACAAUGUCCCCACCUAAUUGGAAUUAUGUGUUUAGGGCUCAAUGAUGCUUUGUCCCAUGUUUCCUGGCCUCCUGAUUGUUGCUUUUCUACUUCAAAGGGAACAAUUUCCUCCUGUUUUACUCCUCCAAGUGUGCUGCUUUGUUCGUGUGUGUGCAGUGUCUGCCAUACACCUGGGGAUAACCUCAGCAGUACUGUAUGUGGAAGAGGUUACAGACUAGGAAAAACAAGUCAUUUCCAUAGAGCUGGAAUAAUGGUAUUGUCUAUGUAUGCUGACAUAGCAGCUUUUCCAAGUGGUGUGUUUCUGUUGAAUAAAUGUAUUUGAGAUUAUUCCUUCCCUAAUGUGAAGGUUUCACUUUUUUUCCUAAUUUUAUGUUCCUCUUUCGUUAUUUCUUUAAUUGGAUGUCUGGUGCUUUUUGCUCUCCAUUGCUGUUACAGUAUUGAACGAAGUACAUGGAUGAGAAAUAUUGAAGCAGAAUGUUUUGUAACUCUUGUCUGCCCUGUACUCCCACCUUUAAUGCUGCAUUACUGUUCCUUAUUGCCUUUUUUGUAUGAUAUUUCACAGCAGUCUUGAGUUCACAUGUUGGUCUUAAUAGUGCAUCUAGUCUUUUUUUCUUCUCCUUAUCUGUUUAAUUUUUUGUACCUGUUAAGGAUCAGUUUUUAGCAUGAUUUAUUUCCUAUAAAACCAUGCUUCUCAGGAAGUUUUUCCUGAUGGCCUGCAGCAGAUCAGUGCUUUCUACAUCACCAUUGCACAGUGACUUGACCUGUAAGUAGAGUGUGGAGAGGGGCUCCAAAAUAAAGCAUUUAAAACUGGU
RNA transcript from Pseudopipra pipra, 3829 nucleotides. It is a transcript of the gene named protein inhibitor of activated STAT 2, with no coding region annotated. NCBI's taxonomy places the organism in Eukaryota, Metazoa, Chordata, Aves, Passeriformes, Pipridae. The transcript is spliced from 15 exons. The record is from RefSeq and is a predicted model, not a curated record.